UUAGGGUCCCGUGGGGAGUCCCGUGUGGGCCCUUGCGGGUGUUGGGCAAGACUCUGCUCUGUUUGUUUGUUUUUAAAUCAGUUCUCACUUCUGGGUCUUAAUCUUUCCAGCCCUUUUCUGCAUAGACUGCAAGCCUUAGGGAGAGUUAUGUGACACAGAUGUUCCAUUUAGGGCUAAACAUUACCUGGUCCACUUGGCACACUUAACAGUUCUAGGUCUCCUGGCUAAUUGCCAUCUGUUGCAAGAAGCAGCUUCUUUGAUGAGGACUGAGGGAUGUACUAAUUUAUGAAUGUAACAAUAAGUCAUAGAGAAUCAUUUCAAUAUUGUCGACAUUUAGGAGAAUAAUCGUUGCAAGUUUUCCCCUAGAGCCUAUGACAAUUCUAACCACAGGUUCUUAGCCAUGUUAAUACUGCCAGGUAUGGAUCCUGUCGCAUGGAGUGGACCAGACACCCAUUUAGAAAAUGGUUAGUUACUCUUAUAUCAUUCAGGGAAUAAAUGUGUUUGAAUUUAUUUAAACAUUUCACAAUCACAACAACUUAUAGGUUGAUAAUUUUUUAAGAACUUUUUAUUGCUUCUUUGUGAGUUUUACAUUGUGCACUCUAAUCCCACUUGCCUCCGUAUCCCCUCAUGUCCACCCUUUGUCCUUGCAACCUCCCUCCCCCAAACACACACAUACACACACACACACACACACACACACACACACACACACACACACUUAAAUCAUAGAAGACAUCUCAUCGUGGAAGCUACAGUAUGUCAAUGUGUGUCCCAUCGUAUAUCUACACAGUAUCCCCUGCUGUUCACAUCUUUACUUGCAAAUGUACGUUGCAAUGAGUCAUUGUUUCCAGAUCUCUGACUCUUGUGACACUAUCAAUAUUGGGUUUUCACUGGCCUUCCUCCUGGUUAUCCUGUUAUUGCCCUCUGUCAUCGAGAUCCUAGAGCUUUGGAUCAGCCAGACUGGCCCUUUCACAUGUCUCAACAAUUUGCAGAUGAUACAGAUUUGGGGUUGGACCAACUCAGAGCCAGGAAGCUGAGCCUGAGUGGUAGCUGAGCUGGUCAGAGCUCUGGCUUUUCUUUAUCUGCACCACUAGAACCAGCUCCACUGUGCUGCCCAAUCAAGGUGUACGUCUCACUCUCCCAAGUGUUGCAGCCUCCAAGAGGUAGGACCAACUCCCCAUCUCUCAUAUUCUCAGGACUGACUCACGUGUGCCUUUACUAUCAGGGCCAGCUCCACUGUUGCCCAGGCAAGGUGCAAGCCUGCUUUCCUGAGUGCUACAGUCAGUGAGGGGGCAGGACUAGCUCUCCUGCUCUCAUGCCCUCAGGGCCAGCUCUCUGGACUACUGCAGGGGGCAAGGGGCAGGGAUGGAGAUUCACUACCACACCCAUGCCACCUCACAGUAGACAAGUGACAGGGCCAGUUCUCCCAUGGCGUUACUGGAGGGCAGAAGGCCAGCUCACCCAUGCCCCUUCCACCAAGGCCAGCACUACUGUACUACCUAGGCAAGAUGCCCAGCCCACUCUUUCAAGUGCUGCAGCUGAUAAGAGCAGGGAUAGCUCUCCUGCACUCACGAUCCUGUAGGCAGCUUUCCCAACUGCCAGAGGUGAUGAGGGGGGCAGGUAUCACCCCUGUGCCCUUGCCACCUCACAGCAAAAGAGUAGUGGGGUCAGCUCUACUACAAUCAUGCCCUCGAGCCACUCACCCACACUCCUACCACCAGGGCAUGCUCUACUGUGCUGCCUAGAUGAGGUUCAGGGCCCCCUCUCCCAAGUGUUGCUACAGGUGAGAGGUGGUGCCAGGUCUCCAGAGGGCUGCAUCCAGUGAGGGGUAGGGCCAGUUCUACACUAGGGCAUCCAAGUGGUCCCUAGUGACUUGCCUGGACCAGGGACAUUCUCAUGUUCUCUAGUAGCAAUAUGAGCUACUGACAUUGACACUGACCCCUGCCACUGCGUUAGCCACAGAUGCAGACAUGGCCCUCAGCAGUAGCUCAGGCUGGGACUUCACAAUGGCCCCAGGUGGCAGGGCUGGCUACUCACAACAGGCUACUCCUCUCCACCCUCGAGUCUCCAGUUCCAUCUCUCUUCACACUGCUCAAGCUGCUCCUCUUCUUUCUCCCAUCUGAUAACCACACACUCGCACGUUGUGAUUGCUCCCACUGGAGCCUGCACACAGCACUGGCGGACCCUUGGGUGACAUUCUCCAGGAAGCAGUUGUCUAUGGUCUGCCUGUGCCAGGGGCUCGAGGGCAGGUCUGUAGGUGGCAUAGCAGUCCAGCAGGUCUCUGUUUUCCUCUAUCCAUGAUCUGCUAUGUGGUGGUAGGCAGGGCUAUAUGUGUCUAUGGCACAUAGAUUAAAAUAUUUCUGUUGUUUGGCAGUAGCUUUUUGAUUCCAUUAUUCUUCAUAUGCUUGUAUAUAUAUAUAUCUAUCCUGGUGUAGUUGCAGAACUGGAAGAUGAUCCAGAUUUUUAAUUAGCCAGAUAGCCUUAUUAUUGCUCAGUCUGUCAGCAUAACAUACUAAAAUAAAAAAACACUAACUUGUUACAUUGUCCAUUAGGUCCAUUAGAUUUUGUACACAAGAAUGUGCUCCUUCCUUGUGAUCAUAAUGGAGUGUGGGUAUUAUUGUCUCUGCUUUAUACACAACAGUAUGGAGUUUUCUCCAGACUAAAUAAUUCAUUAACUAUCCCACCAUCUACAGGAAGAAGAGCUGAUAUUCUAGUCUAGUCAGUUUCCAAAAGCACAGAUGCACACCCAUAUGUAAGUAUAUUAUUAAGGAUACAAGAGGACAUUUUAAAGCAAAACCUUGUAGCAUGUGAUGGCUGCUCUUUGACUUCCUGUGUUGUUUUAAUGUGUUAGUUCUUUGGUGAACACCAUGUUUGUGUUCCUCCUUCCACUCUGUAGGAAGUGUGCUAGUAGUGGCCAUGAUGACACAGUACUCUCACAUGUCAUAUUUCGUAGAAAUGCUAUCAGCUUUCAGCUGCUCAUGCUCGAUCUAGACAUUGUUUUCAAUUUUCCACGCCACUUUUAUUUUCUAUGCAAGUUUUCUAGUAUUUUGUAGUCAAAUCUAUUAAUUGAUUUUUUAAAAAAUUGACGUCUGCCUUUAAUAUGAAGUCUGAGAGCCUGUUGCUACGUCUGUCAGAGCGGAGGUCCCGCUCAGACUGCUGGGCUCAGAGCUGCUGCAGGCUUUGAUCAUGUUCUUGGUGGUGAUGUACUGGGUAUUAUUUACCACAAUAUGUCCUUUCUGUUUUCCUGUCUCUGGUGAUUUUAUGUGAAUUGCGUGUUUGGUUUGCUAACUCUGUGUUUGUUAUCUAUUUUCUCUUGGUUUUCUCACUCUGUGUUUGUUAUCUAUUUUCUCUAAGGGGUAACUACUAAAUAACACAUACUACACUGCAUUCAAACUCCCUCCCACAGCCCUCAUGCCCUCCUUCAGUAAGAUUGGCUUUCCCAGAGGAGUCUUAGGUGCUUUUGUAACUAGCCUGAUGCAAUCCUUCUCCGGUCCUUAGGCAUGACCAAACACGCACAGUCCUGUGGGAGAAGCUUGGGCUGGGUGUGCUUCCUUGGUUAAAGCUAUACAGAGGCUGGCCAGUCAUGGAGGAUGCAUCCUAAUCCCUCAGUUUCCUGGUGUUUUGGUUUGGUUUCUCAGUCACUCAAGCCACUGGCUUGUGAAAAGGGAAGGCAGUUCUCAGGUGAUAAAUACCUGGAGCCACUGGGUUCAAUCAGGUUUUUUCUCUUGCUCCUUUCUUCCUUCUUUCCUUUCUCUCUCUCUCUCCCUUCCUUCCUUCCUUCCUUCCUUCCUUCCUUCCUUCCUUCCUUCCCUCUUUCCUUUCUCUCUCUUCCUUCCUUUCUUUUUUCUUUUCUCUUUCCUCUUUCUUUCUAUAACUUUUAAUUGAUUUUUUUGUGUGAAUUUCAUUCAUCUCCCCAUUGUAUCUUCCCUCCACAUAUGCAACCUUCACCACAAAAAAAAAACAGUAAAAAUUAAAAUAAUAAUAAUAAUUAAAACAAAACAUCUUAUCAUGGAAGCUGUAGAAUGUCACAGUGUGUUCCACAGUAUACCCUUUUGUCCUGCUUAUAUGCCAGAAGUUAUAGUUUCCUUUCCUGGUGGAUUUCAGGUUCCAUGGACACAAUUGUUCUUAGAUUUCUCUCUGCUGUUUAAUAAAUUUUUAUUUAUUUAAAGUUGGCCUUAAAGAGAAGAACCAUUAUUUAAAAUUCAAUAUUUCAUGAUUCUUUUUUUGUAAAUACUUUGGCAACUUGAUGACUUUAACAUGAGGUUCCUAUUUUUUAAAAAGCAACAUUGAACACUGAAAAUGGAUACUUAUCUAGAGCAUGACUAAAUAAGAUACAAGUAUGCACAAAGAUAACAGUUGUCACAAAUAUUCAAAAUGUAUACAAAAGAUAUUAGCAAUAUACCUUUGACAUUCUGUUACAUUGUUUUUCUUAUAUUCUUAAUGUUUAUUCAAUUUUUAUUGCGUACUUUUAUUCAUCUUUUUAUUAUAAAUAUUUUAUGAUCUCAUUUCAUAUUCAGUAAAUUUAAAAAAUAACUUUAAUUUUCCUCUGACCUUGUUAACAGUUUUAAAUGGAUGAUAGUUUGCAUAAGUUUCUUUCUGACUUGCUACCUAUCAGCAAUACCAUGUAGUAUUAAAGUUAUUGUCAAAAUUAAGACAAUUCCUACAAAGGUUCUGCAUAUUUGUACAAUAAAACUGUCGAGUUUUGUUUUGUUUUGGAGUGAAUUUUAAAUAACUGUGGAGCUGACAGCUCUUAUGAACCAGUCAUCAGUAUCCCCGCUGAAGCGAUCUUUAUCUCAAUCAGUUCACAUCAGCUCAGUGUAGCAGGCAGGAUACUGAAGUUUCUCUGAAGUGUUCAUAUGGUUCGUUCAUUAGUCUGAUUACAAGAAUCAUAUAACUUCUAUUUGAAAAUUUUCAUCUCAUUUUCAUGACUUUAGACUGAUGUGGAAAAUCUCUUCAGUCUCAUCCUAAGCCUUGCAAAAUGUUUGCAAGGGCUUCCUCUCUACCCUACCUCCACUCCCUGGGGUCUACAGCAAACCCUGUGCCAGGCCCAGCAUUCCCUUUCCCUUGGACCCUCUCAGUUGUCUUUUCUAGCCCAUUCCUGUUUCUCUACAUCAGCCAACUAUACCUAGAAGCAUUCUGCCUGGGACCCCAGUGGCUACACAAAGCUAAGACCCAGGUAGGUGACUUCCACUUUCCUUUUUGUCAUUGGUCAUAAUCUCUCCAGACUUAUUCCAAUUUCUGUAAGCAGACUGUUGCAGGGACCUCCACUAGCACUGAAGCUCCAUUCACUGGAGCUUCAAGCUCUUGUCACAGAGUUCCGAAAGCCCUUUCAUCCGUCUUUCCUGAUCAUUCUUUGCCUUACUGCAACCUGCUUGCAGGAUCCUCUCUUCCCACCACACAUCCCAGUGCCUGGAGACCCCUCCCUUUGGUGUGGACAGGAUCCCCUUAGCUCUUUCCUGAAGCCCACUCAACUUUUUUCUCCUAGACCAGCUCUCUUUCUCACUGCUACCCACAGACCUGCAGCAUUCUGUACCAGGUAGCCCACACCCACUACAGUUUUAUAAGAUCCAGAGAGGGUUACAGACACCAAAGAAUGGAACACCCAGCCAGCAAAGGGAAAAUGAAACAUCAACACCCAGAAUCAAUCUAAUCAUCUCAAGUCCAGAUGUUUAGACUCCAGCAGAGCACAAACAUUAACACCCAAGACAAUGUGCCUCCACCAGAAGCCAGUAACUCCACUCCACUGCAGUAGACCCUGUGAAAUGCAGUAUAGUUGAAAAACAAGAAAGGGCUUCAAAAUAGGGACAAUUAAGAACAUGUUCAAUAUUCUCUCCUGUGACUCUCUAAGGCAGGUCCACCCAGGAGUAAAGACACAGGCUUACAGACUCACAGGAGGAAGAAACUCCAGCCAGAGACAGCAAAAACAUAUAACACCAGAGAUUACCAGAUGACGAAAGGCAAAUGCAAGAAUCUUAUGAACAGAAACCAAGGCUACUCAUCAUCAGAACUUAGUACUCCCACCACAGUAAGUCCUGGAUAAACCAACACACUGGAAAAGCAAGAUUCUGAUUUAAAAUCAUAUCUCAUGAUGCUGAUAGAGGACUUUAAGGAUAUUAAUAACUCCCUUAAAUACACGAGAUCACAGGUAAACAGGUAGAAGCCCUUAAAGAGGAAACACAAAAUCCCCUGAAGAAUUACAGGAAAACACAACCAAACAGGUGAAGGAAUUGAACAAAACCAUCAAGGAUCUAAAAAUGGAAGUAGAAACCAAUAAAGAAAGCAAAAAGGGAGACAACUCUGGAGAUAGAAAACCUAGGGAAAAAAAUCAGAAAACAUAGAUGCAAGCAUCACCAACAGAAUA
RNAcentral lists this long non-coding RNA (6361 nucleotides) under Mus musculus (house mouse). RNAcentral describes it as "long non-coding RNA chr9:22904131-22910492". Lineage: Eukaryota; Metazoa; Chordata; Mammalia; Rodentia; Muridae. The record is from RNAcentral.